The submitters of this non-coding RNA (109 nucleotides) gave its source as unclassified sequences. The record is from Rfam.
AGUUCCCCAGAUUUUGUCCCGUCGUAGAAGGCUGUCGAAACAAACUCAUCUGAGUGGUAGGUAAAGCUACACCUGGGCUACCUUAAUAGAUUUAUUAUGAAGUUUCGAU